This 252-nucleotide ribosomal RNA is filed under the name uncultured bacterium. Its description in RNAcentral is "partial 16S ribosomal RNA". It matches the Rfam family "Bacterial small subunit ribosomal RNA", at positions 524 to 776 of the family's 1533-position model. The record is from RNAcentral.
UACGGAGGGUGCAAACGUUCUCGGAAUCAUUGGGCGUAAAGCGCGCGUAGGCGGCUGAACAAGUUGGAUGUGAAAGCCCUGGGCUCAACCUAGGAUGUGCAUUCAAAACUGUUCGGCUUGAAUCUCGGAGGGGGUCAGAGAAUUCCCGGUGUAGAGGUGAAAUUCGUAGAUAUCGGGAGGAGCACCAGUGGCGAAGGCGCUGACCUGGACGAUGAUUGACGCUGAGGCGCGAAAGCGUGGGGAGCAAACAGG